This 497-nucleotide ribosomal RNA is filed under the name uncultured bacterium. Its description in RNAcentral is "partial 16S ribosomal RNA". It matches the Rfam family "Bacterial small subunit ribosomal RNA", at positions 28 to 507 of the family's 1533-position model. The record is from RNAcentral.
GACGAACGCUGGCGGCGUGCCUAAUACAUGCAAGUCGAACGCUGAAGAGAGGAGCUUGCUCUUCUUGGAUGAGUUGCGAACGGGUGAGUAACGCGUAGGUAACCUGCCUUGUAGCGGGGGAUAACUAUUGGAAACGAUAGCUAAUACCGCAUAACAAUGGAUGACACAUGUCAUUUAUUUGAAAGGGGCAAUUGCUCCACUACAAGAUGGACCUGCGUUGUAUUAGCUAGUAGGUGAGGUAAUGGCUCACCUAGGCGACGAUACAUAGCCGACCUGAGAGGGUGAUCGGCCACACUGGGACUGAGACACGGCCCAGACUCCUACGGGAGGCAGCAGUAGGGAAUCUUCGGCAAUGGGGGCAACCCCGACCGAGCAACGCCGCGUGAGUGAAGAAGGUUUUCGGAUCGUAAAGCUCUGUUGUAAGACAAGAACGGGUGUGAGAGUGGAAAGUUCACACUGUGACGGUAGCUUACCAGAAAGAGACGGCUAACUACGUG